GACGAACGCUGGCGGCGUGCUUAACACAUGCAAGUAGAACGGAGAGGGCGGGCCUUUGUGGGGUGGUCGAGUUGCGAACGGGUGAGUAACGCGUAGGUAACCUGCCUGGGAGCGGGGGAUAACUAUUGGAAACGAUAGCUAAUACCGCAUAAGAGCAGAUGCUGCAUGGCGGUGGCUGGAAAGGUGCGAUUGCGGCGGUUGGGGAUGGAGCUGCGGCGCAUUAGCGAGGGGGAGGGGUAACGGAUGACCCAGGCGUGGAGGCGUAGCCGGCCUGAGAGGGGGACCGGCCACAGUGGGACUGGGGUACCGGCCAGACUGCUACGGGAGGAAGCGGCGGAGGAUAGUGCGAGAUGGGCGGAAGCCGGAUGGAGCAACGCCGGGUGGUGGAGCACGGUCGUAGGGGUGGAAACCGCUUGAGCCUGGAACGUACAGUGUGUGACGGUAUCUGAUAAAGAAGCACCGGCUAACUACGUG
This 474-nucleotide ribosomal RNA is filed under the name uncultured bacterium. RNAcentral describes it as "partial 16S ribosomal RNA". It matches the Rfam family "Bacterial small subunit ribosomal RNA", at positions 28 to 507 of the family's 1533-position model. The record is from RNAcentral.